Molecule: ribosomal RNA, 472 nt
Filed under: uncultured bacterium
Lineage: Bacteria
Description: SSU rRNA
Rfam family: Bacterial small subunit ribosomal RNA
Source: RNAcentral
AGCCUGAACGCUGGCGGCGUGGCUAAGACAUGCAAGUCGCACGGAGGUAGCAAUACCUUAGUGGCGAACGGGUGAGUAAUGUAUCGCUAACGUACCCUUAAGUCCGGGAUAGCCAGGGGAAACUCUGGGUAAUACCGGGUGACAUUCUCCUCUCGCAUGGGAGGAGACUCAAAGGAGCAAUCCGCUGAAGGAGCGGGGCGAGUAUACGGUAUCAAGCUAGUUGGUGAGGUAACGGCUCACCAAGGCGACGACGCGUAGCCGGACUGAGAGGUCGGUCGGCCACAUUGGGACUGAGACACUGCCCAGACUCCUACGGGGGGCUGCAGUAACGAAUCUUCCGCAAUGCACGCAAGUGUGACGGAGCGACGCCGCGUGUGGGACGAAGUCCUUCGGGAUGUAAACCACUGUCAGGGGUUACCAAGUUCUGAGGAGCCCCAGAGGAAGGCACGGCUAACUCUGUGCCAGCAGCCGC